UACAGAGGUCUCAAGCGUUGUUCGGAUUCAUUGGGCGUAAAGGGCUCGUAGGCGGUUUGUCGCGUCGGGAGUGAAAACACGGGGCUUAACCCCGUGCCUGCUUCCGAUACGGGCAGACUAGAGGUAUGCAGGGGAGAACGGAAUUCCUGGUGUAGCGGUGAAAUGCGCAGAUAUCAGGAAGAACACCCGUGGCGAAGGCGGUUCUCUGGGACGGUACUGACGCUGAGACGCGAAAGCGUGGGGAGCGAACAGG
Molecule: ribosomal RNA, 253 nt
Filed under: uncultured bacterium
Lineage: Bacteria
Description: partial 16S ribosomal RNA
Rfam family: Bacterial small subunit ribosomal RNA
Source: RNAcentral